Molecule: unclassified non-coding RNA, 444 nt
Filed under: Hevea brasiliensis (rubber tree)
Lineage: Eukaryota; Viridiplantae; Streptophyta; Magnoliopsida; Malpighiales; Euphorbiaceae
Source: RNAcentral
AACCCUCAAAUAUGGCCAAACUUCUUACCCCCAACAUUCUAAUAAAAAAGGCACUUUUAAUUGAACCAAGAUUCAGACCUAAAAAUCACUAACCUUUUAAAGGCUCCAUAACCAUAACUAAUUAAACUUCAUAAAGAUCUAAGAUCAUUAUAGAAUAUAAUAGAAUAGUGUCAAACUGAUUUUCACUUCUUUGAGAUGAAAGGAACUCAUAUUGUGCUAGUGACAGUACUUUCCAAGUGCUAGAAUUGAGAAUAAAAAUCACCAACCAUGGUCCAUAAUAAUUUUUCAGAAUAUUUUCUGCUAGUUAUAACUAGCAACUCAAGAGGGUCAAUAAAUAUUUUUUUAAGGCUUCAUCAAAAGAACGUGAUCGGGAAUACAUCAUAUUACCCCGCGUUAGUUUUGAGUGCAUUCUAAUAGUUAUAGCUAGCAACUAUAAGAGCGCCA